UACGUAGGGUGCAAGCGUUACUCGGAAUUACUGGGCGUAAAGCGUGCGCAGGCGGUUUUGUAAGUCUGUCGUGAAAUCCCCGGGCUCAACCUGGGAAUUGCGAUGGAGACUGCAAGGCUAGAAUCUGGCAGAGGGGGGUAGAAUUCCACGUGUAGCAGUGAAAUGCGUAGAGAUGUGGAGGAACACCGAUGGCGAAGGCAGCCCCCUGGGUCAAGAUUGACGCUCAUGCACGAAAGCGUGGGGAGCAAACAGG
RNAcentral lists this ribosomal RNA (253 nucleotides) under uncultured bacterium. Its description in RNAcentral is "partial 16S ribosomal RNA". It matches the Rfam family "Bacterial small subunit ribosomal RNA", at positions 524 to 776 of the family's 1533-position model. The record is from RNAcentral.